This is a long non-coding RNA of Arabidopsis thaliana (thale cress), 375 nucleotides long. RefSeq annotates it as other RNA. The transcript has a single exon. Lineage: Eukaryota; Viridiplantae; Streptophyta; Magnoliopsida; Brassicales; Brassicaceae. The record is from RefSeq.
GGCUGGCAGUUCACGAGUGCCCACAGUGACAAUGUAGAAGCCUUUUUCUACAAGCUCACAAUGGUUAUGAUCUUCCCUGAGACUCAAGAUAGCUACAGUUGGAAGGAUGAAGUAGCUAGACCCCCAAAAAGACCGCUUCAAACAUUGCAAUUACCUGGCGCCAAAUCACUCCCUUCUUACUUCUUAGCGAAAGUAUACAUGGCAUAGACAAGUCUUUUUCUGAGGUGUUGUCCUUAAUCAAUCCAUCACUAUGUGGCUAGGUUGAAAGUGCUGGUUCUAGAGAUAUCACUUCAUCUUCUAGAGGAGGCUCUUCAUCUAUUUAACAAAAUAGAGUCGCUUUUUGUGUGUAUGGGUGUGUUGUUGUUUCAUUUAUGU